UUCAGCGGCAGUGGUGCUUUCCCGAAUCUCAGAAUGCCUGUUAAAAGAUCACUGAAGUUGGAUGGUCUGUUAGAAGAAAAUAAAAGAGAAAAAAAUUGAAUCACCCCAGUUUAACUGAAAGCAAAGAAUCUACAACAAAAGACAAUGAUGAAUUCAUGAUGUUGCUAUCAAAAGUUGAGAAAUUGUCAGAAGAAAUCAUGGAGAUAAUGCAAAAUUUAAGUAGUAUACAGGCUUUGGAGGGCAGUAGAGAGCUUGAAAAUCUCAUUGGAAUCUCCUGUGCAUCACAUUUCUUAAAAAGAGAAAUGCAGAAAACCAAAGAACUAAUGACAAAAGUGAAUAAACAAAAACUGUUUGAAAAGAGUACAGGACUUCCUCACAAAGCAUCACGUCAUCUUGACAGCUAUGAAUUCCUUAAAGCCAUUUUAAACUGAGGCAUUAAGAAGAAAUGCACUCACCAUGAGCACCAACUUCUGCAUCUGCCUGAUCAUAUUUAAAGGAACAGAGAAAUAUUUGUAAUUAAUCUGCCCAGUAAAUACCAGCUCGUAGCAGUUGGCAGGUGCAUGUCUAGAUAAAAUUUCUUGCAGCUAAUUUAAACUUUCUACACGCACCAGUAGAUAAUCUCAAUGUAAAUAAUACAUUUCUUCUUGGCUCUUUAAUGUAAGCCAACAUGGAGAGGAAGAUCUUGACUUAUAUUCUGUACCACAUACACUUCUGUGGACUUUUAGCAUUUGUGGGUAGACUUAAUAAAGCAUGUAUAAAAGUGGC
RNAcentral lists this long non-coding RNA (765 nucleotides) under Homo sapiens (human). Its description in RNAcentral is "HSALNT0008183". The record is from RNAcentral. Lineage: Eukaryota; Metazoa; Chordata; Mammalia; Primates; Hominidae.